RNAcentral lists this ribosomal RNA (373 nucleotides) under uncultured Glomeromycotina. RNAcentral's name for it is "LSU rRNA". Lineage: Eukaryota; Fungi; Glomeromycota. The record is from RNAcentral.
UUGAAAGGGAAACGAUUGAAGUCAGUCGUACCGGUGGGUAAUCAGCCUUUCGGCGUGAUUAUGUGGAGCGUGAGGAGUUAAACGCCCUCAUGGCCUGAAUAUUCGUGUUCUUUGGGUGUACUUACCCGCAUGGUAGGUUAACAUCAAUUUCGAACGUCAUAAAAUGGUUGGAGGAAUGUAGCUUCGAUCUCGUAUUGAAGUGUUAUAGACUCCGGCAGAUGUGAUGAUCGGGAUUGAGGAUUGCAACGGAUACCCUUCGGGGCUACCCGUCUGAUCUCUGAAAGUUACUCUGGUGCCGAAAGCUCGCUUACGGUCAUCAAAGUUGACGUUCAACAGGUUAGAACGGGAUAAAUUCGUUAAGGAUGUUGACGUA